AGUCAGAACAUGGGUGAUAAGGUCCGUGUUCGAAAGGGAAACAGCCCAGACCACCAGCUAAGGUCCCAAAAUAUAUGUUAAGUGGAAAAGGAUGUGGCGUUGCCCAGACAACUAGGAUGUUGGCUUAGAAGCAGCCAUCAUUUAAAGAGUGCGUAAUAGCUCACUAGUCGAGUGACACUGCGCCGAAAAUGUACCGGGGCUAAACAUAUUACCGAAGCUGUGGAUUGUCCUUUGGACAAUGGUAGGAGAGCGUUCUAAGGGCGUCGAAGCAUGAUCGCAAGGACAUGUGGAGCGCUUAGAAGUGAGAAUGCCGGUGUGAGUAGCGAAAGACGGGUGAGAAUCCCGUCCACCGAUUGACUAAGGUUUCCAGAGGAAGGCUCGUCCGCUCUGGGUUAGUCGGGUCCUAAGCUGAGGCCGACAGGCGUAGGCGAUGGAUAACAGGUUGAUAUUCCUGUACCACCUAGUAUCGUUUUAAUCGAUGGGGGGACGCAGUAGGAUAGGCGAAGCGUGCUGUUGGAGUGCACGUCCAAGCAGUAAGGCUGAGUGUUAGGCAAAUCCGGCACUCAUAAGGCUGAGCUGUGAUGGGGAGAGGAAAUUGUUUCCUCGAGUCGUUGAUUUCACACUGCCGAGAAAAGCCUCUAGAUAGAUAACAGGUGCCCGUACCGCAAACCGACACAGGUAGUCAAGAUGAGAAUUCUAAGGUGAGCGAGCGAACUCUCGUUAAGGAACUCGGCAAAAUGACCCCGUAACUUCGGGAGAAGGGGUGCUCUUUAGGGUUCACGCCCAGAAGAGCCGCAGUGAAUAGGCCCAAGCGACUGUUUAUCAAAAACACAGGUCUCUGCUAAACCGUAAGGUGAUGUAUAGGGGCUGACGCCUGCCCGGUGCUGGAAGGUUAAGAGGAGUGGUUAGCUUCUGCGAAGCUACGAAUCGAAGCCCCAGUAAACGGCGGCCGUAACUAUAACGGUCCUAAGGUAGCGAAAUUCCUUGUCGGGUAAGUUCCGACCCGCACGAAAGGCGUAACGAUUUGGGCACUGUCUCAACGAGAGACUCGGUGAAAUCAUAGUACCUGUGAAGAUGCAGGUUACCCGCGACAGGACGGAAAGACCCCGUGGAGCUUUACUGUAGCCUGAUAUUGAAAUUCGGCACAGCUUGUACAGGAUAGGUAGGAGCCUUUGAAACGUGAGCGCUAGCUUACGUGGAGGCGUUGGUGGGAUACUACCCUAGCUGUGUUGGCUUUCUAACCCGCACCACUUAUCGUGGUGGGAGACAGUGUCAGGCGGGCAGUUUGACUGGGGCGGUCGCCUCCUAAAAGGUAACGGAGGCGCUCAAAGGUUCCCUCAGAAUGGUUGGAAAUCAUUCAUAGAGUGUAAAGGCAUAAGGGAGCUUGACUGCGAGACCUACAAGUCGAGCAGGGUCGAAAGACGGACUUAGUGAUCCGGUGGUUCCGCAUGGAAGGGCCAUCGCUCAACGGAUAAAAGCUACCCCGGGGAUAACAGGCUUAUCUCCCCCAAGAGUUCACAUCGACGGGGAGGUUUGGCACCUCGAUGUCGGCUCAUCGCAUCCUGGGGCUGUAGUCGGUCCCAAGGGUUGGGCUGUUCGCCCAUUAAAGCGGUACGCGAGCUGGGUUCAGAACGUCGUGAGACAGUUCGGUCCCUAUCCGUCGUGGGCGUAGGAAAUUUGAGAGGAGCUGUCCUUAGUACGAGAGGACCGGGAUGGACAUACCUCUGGUGUACCAGUUGUCGUGCCAACGGCAUAGCUGGGUAGCUAUGUAUGGACGGGAUAAGUGCUGAAAGCAUCUAAGCAUGAAGCCCCCCUCAAGAUGAGAUUUCCCAACUUCGGUUAUAAGAUCCCUCGAAGAUGACGAGGUUAAUAGGUUCGAGGUGGAAGCGUGGUGACACGUGGAGCUGACGAAUACUAAUCGAUCGAAGACUUAAUCAA
This 1938-nucleotide ribosomal RNA is filed under the name Staphylococcus epidermidis. RNAcentral describes it as "bacterial LSU rRNA". It matches the Rfam family "Bacterial large subunit ribosomal RNA", at positions 982 to 2925 of the family's 2925-position model. Lineage: Bacteria; Bacillati; Bacillota; Bacilli; Caryophanales; Staphylococcaceae. The record is from RNAcentral. RNAcentral also lists the same sequence under 2 other names.